This 414-nucleotide transfer-messenger RNA is filed under the name Candidatus Babelota bacterium. RNAcentral's name for it is "Candidatus Dependentiae bacterium transfer-messenger RNA". It matches the Rfam family "transfer-messenger RNA". Rfam says of the family: Bacterial tmRNA, also known as 10Sa RNA or SsrA, is named for its dual tRNA and mRNA-like properties. Its role is to liberate the mRNA from a stalled ribosome. To accomplish this part of the tmRNA is used as a reading frame that ends in a translation stop signal. The record is from RNAcentral.
GGGGAUGUACUGGUUUCGAUCUGAUUCGAACAGAGACAUAGCGCAUGCAAGGGAUGAUGGUUGGCCCUUUCAAACACCCAUCGAAACAUCAUGCCAAUAACGUGAUCGCUCGCAUUGUCGGUUCCGUGAAGAACGCCUGGGCUUCGGUCAAGGCUGCCUUUGCUCUGCCGGCUCCUGCACAGCUCGCCUUCGCCUAAUCAUGGUGAAGCCAUCCUCCGGGGACUCCUGAUUACCGGGACGGAUGCAUUAUCAGGGUUACGCCAUAGGGUCCACAGUACCGGCGUAAUACACAGUGGAUAAAUUCCUCACUCCCUUGUUCAUUCUGGGUGAAGGUCUUAUUUGAAUGCACUAAGCAUGUAGCGUUGGUCGAGGUUUGCUUCAGAGACCCGGGUUCGACUCCCGGCAUCUCCACCA